Molecule: long non-coding RNA, 1304 nt
Filed under: Pan troglodytes (chimpanzee)
Lineage: Eukaryota; Metazoa; Chordata; Mammalia; Primates; Hominidae
Description: lncRNA (ENSPTRG00000054331.1)
Source: RNAcentral
AAACAACACUUUUCAGUGUAUACGUUUGGGUAUGCUUCUUUAAAAUCAGUAAACUUUGAAUCACUUUAUUUUAUUGAGAUGUCAACAUGUAAUUGAAUGUGCUAGGGAGAACUCACCUGACACUUUUCUAAGUGCUUUCUUUCUGAGUCUCUGUUCAGCUGGCAAUCCCCCACUUUAUUAUGUGAUCUCCCCCCACAUGUUUUUCUGGGCCAGGAGGAGAACAUCACGGUGCAGGGCAAACACAGGGGCUGGGAUUUAUGCAAAGACAGUGGAUAACACCAACCUAUCUCUUCUCUUUCUUGAAAUCUCAUUGUAAAAUACAGAAAAUGGUCUUCUGAGAGAUAGAGACUCACAAUCAUUGUUUUUAAGAAGAAGACAGGAAAGAGCAGCAGUGAGGUUCUGGGGCUAAGCAGAGAGCUUCUCAGUGCUGGGGCACGGCACGUUGCUCAGAUCAGCUUUCCCUGUGAGAGUAACAGAACGCGGAAGGAACUCUAAGAAGCCUAUUUAAAAAUGACUGACUAGCGGAUGUGAUAGAGAGCGAUUAUCAGGGUAGACUAUAAGCCUGUAACACAGAGGGUGUGGCCAAGCACAGCCCAGCUUUUGUCCCAAGGAUGCCAGCUAAACCAAGGAAAGGUGAACUGGAAUUUCAGGAUCUCUUAAAGUUUGGAGACAUGGGAAAGUGGGGGCUUCAACAGGAAGUCCUCCUCUCCUAAAGCCAGGAUCAGAAAAGGCCACACUCUCAGCAGAAGAGUAAAACCCCACCCUGAAACACAGAAUGGAUCCACGUGCUCCAGAUAAAAGGGAAGGUCGAAAAGCUAACAGAGUUCGGAUACAAAACAGAACAAAGACGAAACAAAAAGCUGCAGCCGAACCCUACCUGCUGCUCCAUGUUGAAAUCUGCCUCCUCAAGUCAGGAGCGAGACGAGAAGGAACACCCAAGACUCCGACAUCAGCAUCAGCUGCAGGGGCUCCCGGAAGGACAAGGAGCUGGGAGAUGGGAACGUCACUAGACCACGAGCCGGAAUUGCUGCAGAAGGAUUCCCACACUCUGGGCCUCCGUGGGCACCACGAGUACUGGAUGUGCGACCCCAGCUCUCUGGGUCUCAGUUUCGUCUCCUGCAGAGCAUCUGAGCUAGACCGUCUCUAAAAUUUCAUCAAGCUCCUGUGUUCCAUUCUAUUCUGAGAUGCCCAAUUCUUAUGCCUGCUAAAAACCACAGUGAGAAAUAAUAACCUAUGUCCAAAUUUUUGUUUCCUAGGAGAAAUAUCAACAUGCGUCUGCCAAAUAAAAUAUUGUAUUAAAUGAG